Molecule: unclassified non-coding RNA, 656 nt
Filed under: Cantharellus anzutake
Lineage: Eukaryota; Fungi; Basidiomycota; Agaricomycetes; Cantharellales; Hydnaceae
Description: partial contains 5.8S rRNA, ITS2 and 28S RNA
Rfam family: 5.8S ribosomal RNA (bases 26-221)
Source: RNAcentral
UGAGUUUUCCAAUGGGUUUUUAAAUAACUCUCAACAAUGGAUCUCUAGGCUCUUGCAUCGAUGAAGAACGCAGUGAACUGCGAUAACUGGUGUGAGUUGCAUGGCACUUCUAAUCUAACACCAAGCGAAUCAUCGAGUCUUUGAACGCAAACGGCACCCUUCCAGUCCAUUCCAAAGCGGUGGCGGAGGAUGAAGACAAGGGUAUCUCUGGCUGAGGGUAAUGAGAACUGAUCCAGUGUAACCGUUGGUUUAGCUGGGGAUUGGGCUUGCUUGGGGCAGUUGCUCUGGCUUGCCUCAAAAUCAAGCGUUGUGUGGAUUGGACUUUCAAGCAUGCAUUGGGGACGCAGGCUCUGCGCUAUGGCAAGCCCUUGACCGUCAUAGGUGCUUUGAUUGGGGUUUUCAGUCUAGCCAACAAGGCUGGGUUGAAGGACUUUGGGGCUGCAUUGGGGGCGCAAGGGCAGCUCUGUUCGUGGCGUCCGAUGACCGUCAUGAUGCAUGCGUGAUUGGACUUCAACUAGCAAUUUAUCAUUAUCAUCAUCAUUACUAUGGGUUACCUCAGGUCAGAGAAGACUACCCGCUGGACUUAAGCAUAUCACUAAGCGGAGGAAAGAAAAUCUAACUAGGAUUCCCCCAGUAACUGCGAGUGUAUGUUGAAG